GUAUAGGCCGGAUAGUUCCAGUUGCUUAGGCCUUUAAGUUAAUUGCAAAUAAACUGAAAAGAAGAAGAUUAUAUUCUAACCCUAUUUAAUAAUGUCAAUAUUUGAGAAAUUUCCAGGCAUUUUCUUUAAUAAUUUUCAUUUUAAAGCAAUACAAUCGUAUAAUAAAUUCAAAAUAGAAUAUUGAACAUAUAAUGGCAAAUAUUUAAAACGUAAAUUAUCUUGAUAAUAGUAAGAAAAAUUACCGAAAAAGGUAUAGGAGACUAUGGGCUGCAUUCUAACAACACCAUAUGGUCAAAAAUAAACAGUAUCAAGGUGGGCAUAGACUUCUGAAGAAGUAGAGGAUAUAGAGCAACCUGGAGCAACUGAAACAAACACAAAAUACAAAUUGGAGACGUUUACACAUCGGAUGAGGGUGUGGAUGAAUUGGUUUGUUCAAGCCAAGUUACGGAUUGAAAAUUAACUUAAAAACUUCAAAAAUUCAUAUUUUGAGUAGAAGCUUUGGCAUCAUUGGAACGAAGAAUCUUCUAGAAUUAAUAUAC
Long non-coding RNA from Sitophilus oryzae (rice weevil), 539 nucleotides. RefSeq lists it as uncharacterized. NCBI's taxonomy places the organism in Eukaryota, Metazoa, Arthropoda, Insecta, Coleoptera, Curculionidae. The transcript is spliced from 3 exons. The record is from RefSeq and is a predicted model, not a curated record.